Molecule: small RNA, 126 nt
Filed under: Marmota monax (woodchuck)
Lineage: Eukaryota; Metazoa; Chordata; Mammalia; Rodentia; Sciuridae
Source: RNAcentral
GCUGGGUGCAUUGGCACACACCUGUAAUCCCAGCUGCUUGGGAGGCUGAGACAGGAUUGUGAGUUCAAAGCCAGCCUCAGCAAAAGUGAGGCGCUAAGCAACUAACUCAGUGAGACCCUGUCUCUA